GAUGAACGCUGGCGGCGUGCCUAAUACAUGCAAGUCGAGCGAACAGACGAGGAGCUUGCUCCUCUGACGUUAGCGGCGGACGGGUGAGUAACACGUGGAUAACCUACUUAUAUGACUGGGAUAAUUUCGGGAAACCGGAGCUAAUACCGGAUAAUAUAUUGAACCGCAUGGUUCAAUAGUGAAAGACGGUUUUGCUGUCACUUAUAGCUGGAUCCGCGCUGGAUUAGAUAGUUGGUAAGGUAACGGCUUACCAAGGCGACGAUGCGUAGCCGACCUGAGAGGAUGAUAGGCCACACUGGAACGGAGACACGGUCCAGACUCCUACGGGAGGCAGCAGUGGGGAAUAUUGGACAAUGGGCGAAAGCCUGAUCCAGCAAGCCCGCGUGGGUGAAGAAGGCCUUCGGGUUGUAAAGCCCUUUUGUUGGGAAAGAAAAGCAGUAGGUUAAUACCCCGCUGUUCUGACGGUACCCAAAAAAAAAGCACCGGCUAACUACGUG
RNAcentral lists this ribosomal RNA (497 nucleotides) under uncultured bacterium. Its description in RNAcentral is "partial 16S ribosomal RNA". It matches the Rfam family "Bacterial small subunit ribosomal RNA", at positions 28 to 507 of the family's 1533-position model. The record is from RNAcentral.